Molecule: long non-coding RNA, 439 nt
Filed under: Elaeis guineensis (African oil palm)
Lineage: Eukaryota; Viridiplantae; Streptophyta; Magnoliopsida; Arecales; Arecaceae
Description: long non-coding RNA (EGUI_LNC008457)
Source: RNAcentral
UGGCAAUGUGAGUUGGUUGGGUUUUGAGAGCUUGAUUUUGAUAGAAGCAUGAUAUUUUGUAGGGUUGGAGAUUUUUAAUGGAAAAGAUUCUUCUUUGGCUACAAAAUUUUUAAUUUAUAGGGCUCCAUUCCACUGCAUAAUUUUUUUUUAACUAUAUAGGGAUUUUAGGUAUACCUGACCCGACUCGACCUAUUCUUAGAGCUCGACCCGACCCAAUCCGGGAUGGAUACGGUGGAAGGGGUAUGAGUAUAAAUUUUUUAUUGAUAAGAUGGGUGUGUAUAUCAACAACCCAACCCAUAUCUGACUUGUUGCCAUCCCGAGUAAGAACCAAGUAGGGCCUAGAUAAUAUAGACUUUAGUCGGCUUGGUGCAAUUAUAACAAUAGUUAAAGCAAUAGUUACAAUAAUAAUGGCAAGUGCAACAAUAAAUACCACCACCAC